UCCAAUCAUUACGCCUUCUCACUUUGUCACCCUGUACUUCUAGAAGAGUUGAAGUCAUCAAGGAUUCCAAUAUUAACUGGAUGUCUUUAGUCAUGUUCUUAACUCGAUUAAAGCCUGCUAUUAAAGUAAUUGGAACCCAGCCUUGAUUAUCCAUGUUUGACUUCAAAUAUUCAUCUUUAAUUAAAUUAGCAUCACUGAAAUAAUAUUCUAUCUGAAUGACUAACAUAACAGACAAAGGAGGCUCAUGAACAGGCACAAUCAUUGCAGGUGCUGGUCCAUUAGUGAUGAAAGGCAUCCUAAAGGUUUCCAAUGACAUUGUAGGAAUAUAUACCAAAUCAGAAAAGCCCAUGUGGUUCCCAAAAGGUCUUACGUGCUGAGGUGGAACAAAUGCGACAGUAUUGGGUGGAGGAGGCCUAACAAAGCCCCUUGGAGAUCUCUGUGGGUGCCCAUGAACAUCCCUGAAAUUCCCAUAAUGUCCACGGUCUUGAUCACGCCUUCCCCCAAAAUUGUUCUGGUAGGGACCAUCUCCACGUUGUCCAAAGUUGCCUCUCCGGGAAGAAUGUCUGUGAUCAUUUACCACAGGUGGCUGAGGUCCAAACCCCCCAGCUGGUCUAGGUUCCCAAUAGUUACUCCUGUAUGAAGGGUCUCUUGGAGAUUGAUCCGGUAUUGCUGGGACAAGAUUCCCAUAACCAUUGGGAGACAUUGCAAAUAUAGGAAGUGGUGGUGGUGGCGGAGGAGAACGAGAAAAGCUGCUGUGAGAAUAACCACCUCCAGAGCUACUACCGCCACUGCCCCCCCGCUUCAUGGACUUCUGUCGAGUUGGCAUCGCAUAGUUUGAUACAGAAUUAGAUUUUGCAUUACUAGAAGCUUGACUGUGAGGCGAAUCAGGUAUUACAGGUCCCUGAGGCCCAUCAGAAACGAUCUUCGAAGAAGAAUCGGCGGCUAUUGAUUUAGGAGAAGGUUUGGUGGAUUCAGAUAGAGCAGGCCAUGAAUCGGCUCCCAUCACAGAACUACGCUCAGCUGCGCCAUUUAACGGUUUCUUCCAAGCUGGCUUCUCUGGCCUACCCACAUUGGCGCUGUUACUGUCCGAAGUAUCUGGCCCGACAAAAUUAUCUGCUGCCGGCAGCGGUGUAGAAAGCGGCUUACGAGGGGAGCAAUCAGAAAAAUUAGAUUGCUGCUCCCUGGAAGAAGUCAGAAGAGACGACGGUGACGUCAAGGGAUGAAGAGCCGGAAUCGAUUCCGGCUCACCCAGCACAACUUUAGCCCACGGAGAUGGCAAAUUUUUCCUACUGUGAGGACUGUUGACACCAUCUCCAGAACCAGCGCCUCGCGGGGAUUGAGACGAAUGAGAUUGCGAAUCCGCAGUCAUCGCCAUUAGGGUUUCAGAAAAGGAAAAAAACAGUGUAUUUUGAUCAAUAUAAAACAAAAAUUGGUCAAUUAAUUAAUUAAUUAAUCAACCAACGACUGAAAACAGAACGAUGUUAUUGGAAAAAUGCACCAAAAUGGAAAAAUCUGGGGACGAUCUAACACGUGAAAUUUACGCGCCGUCACAGCCCCUCCUUCCG
This 1565-nucleotide unclassified non-coding RNA is filed under the name Hevea brasiliensis (rubber tree). The record is from RNAcentral. Lineage: Eukaryota; Viridiplantae; Streptophyta; Magnoliopsida; Malpighiales; Euphorbiaceae.